This is a non-coding RNA of Arachis ipaensis, 411 nucleotides long. The record is from RefSeq and is a predicted model, not a curated record. Lineage: Eukaryota; Viridiplantae; Streptophyta; Magnoliopsida; Fabales; Fabaceae.
UUAUAGAAACCUAAAGUGUUGAAUUUAUCUAUUCUAAACUUCAACUUUUCUGUAGGCAUCUUACUUCCAACCAUUUUUCUGGGAAUCUACUUGCUACAUUUGCAAAUCUCACUAAAUUGAAUCACGUUCGACUAGGCAAUAAUCAAUUUUUUGAAACUAUACCAAAUUUUAUUCAAAACUGGACAACUCUUUAGAGAUUGUGUGAAUCUUUACCUUAUUCCCCUGAAAUUUAAAUUUUUAGCUGUUUCUUUUUGAAAUACAUUUUAGUUAUAAUUGGCUGACCAAAGAAUUGUUCUUAAUUGUUCCAGGGUGGUGCAAGGGAGUGAGAAAAAAGUGACGAGCUUGCCCUGGCUUUUGCUGCUUGAUGCUAGCCUUGCUUGUCAUGAUACAUCAAAAUCAAACUCCAAUAGA